RNAcentral lists this ribosomal RNA (655 nucleotides) under Candelariella clarkii. Its description in RNAcentral is "eukaryotic LSU rRNA". The stretch from base 290 to 443 matches the Rfam family "5.8S ribosomal RNA". The record is from RNAcentral. Lineage: Eukaryota; Fungi; Ascomycota; Candelariomycetes; Candelariales; Candelariaceae.
GUAAAAGUCGUAACAAGGUUUCCGUAGGUGAGUGAGGCGUAUUUUCUACUGUUUGUGACAUGCUUGUGAAGAAAAUGACCAGCUAACAUUGUCUUUUAGGUGAACCUGCGGAAGGAUCAUUAAAGAGUAAGGGUCUUCUAGGCCCAACCUCCAACCCUCUGUAUACUUACCUUUGUUGCUUUGGCGGGCCUGCUGGGGAGACCCACCGCUGGCCUUGGCUGGUGAGUGCCCGUCAGAGUCCACCUAAACUCUGUUUAUCAGUGAGGUCUGAGUAUCAUUUAAUAGUUAAAACUUUCAACAACGGAUCUCUUGGUUCUGGCAUCGAUGAAGAACGCAGCGAAAUGCGAUAAGUAAUGUGAAUUGCAGAAUUCAGUGAAUCAUCGAAUCUUUGAACGCACAUUGCGCCCCUUGGUAUUCCGAGGGGCAUGCCUGUUCGAGCGUCAUUACACCACUCAAGCUCAGCUUGGUAGUGGGCCUUCGCCCUCUGGGGCGUGCCCAAAAGUCAGUGGCGGUGCCGCCUGGCUUCAAGCGUAGUAAUCAUCUUUUCGCUUUGGAGGUCAGGUGUGUUGCUUGCCGUUCAAUCCCCCAAACUUCAAAGGUUGACCUCGGAUCAGGUAGGGAUACCCGCUGAACUUAAGCAUAUCAAUAAGCGGAG